CGCGAAAAGCAAGCUACACAUGCAGUCGAGCGGUAGAGAGAAGCUUGCUUCUCUUGAGAGCGGCGGACGGGUGAGUAAUGCCUAGGAAUCUGCCUGGUAGUGGGGGAUAACGUUCGGAAACGGACGCUAAUACCGCAUACGUCCUACGGGAGAAAGCAGGGGACCUUCGGGCCUUGCGCUAUCAGAUGAGCCUAGGUCGGAUUAGCUAGUUGGUGGGGUAAUGGCUCACCAAGGCGACGAUCCGUAACUGGUCUGAGAGGAUGAUCAGUCACACUGGAACUGAGACACGGUCCAGACUCCUACGGGAGGCAGCAGUGGGGAAUAUUGGACAAUGGGCGAAAGCCUGAUCCAGCCAUGCCGCGUGUGUGAAGAAGGUCUUCGGAUUGUAAAGCACUUUAAGUUGGGAGGAAGGGCAGUUGCCUAAUACGUAACUGUUUUGACGUUACCGACAGAAUAAGCACCGGCUAACUCUGUGCCAGCAGCCGCGGUAAUACAGAGGGUGCAAGCGUUAAUCGGAAUUACUGGGCGUAAAGCGCGCGUAGGUGGUUUGUUAAGUUGGAUGUGAAAUCCCCGGGCUCAACCUGGGAACUGCAUUCAAAACUGACUGACUAGAGUAUGGUAGAGGGUGGUGGAAUUUCCUGUGUAGCGGUGAAAUGCGUAGAUAUAGGAAGGAACACCAGUGGCGAAGGCGACCACCUGGACUGAUACUGACACUGAGGUGCGAAAGCGUGGGGAGCAAACAGGAUUAGAUACCCUGGUAGUCCACGCCGUAAACGAUGUCAACUAGCCGUUGGGAGCCUUGAGCUCUUAGUGGCGCAGCUAACGCAUUAAGUUGACCGCCCUGGGGAGUACGGCCGCAAGUUAAAACUCAAAUGAAUUGACGGGGGCCCGCACAGCGAUGAAGCAAUGUGGAUUAGUCGUAGCAAACGGCGAAGAAACCUUAACCCACAGGGCC
Molecule: ribosomal RNA, 955 nt
Filed under: Pseudomonas sp. FGS9
Lineage: Bacteria; Pseudomonadati; Pseudomonadota; Gammaproteobacteria; Pseudomonadales; Pseudomonadaceae
Description: bacterial SSU rRNA
Rfam family: Bacterial small subunit ribosomal RNA
Source: RNAcentral